This 216-nucleotide ribosomal RNA is filed under the name Campeiostachys nutans. RNAcentral describes it as "Elymus nutans partial small subunit ribosomal RNA". The stretch from base 40 to 216 matches the Rfam family "Eukaryotic small subunit ribosomal RNA", at positions 686 to 864 of the family's 1831-position model. Lineage: Eukaryota; Viridiplantae; Streptophyta; Magnoliopsida; Poales; Poaceae. The record is from RNAcentral.
GGGUUAGUAGGUUGGUCAUGCCUCUGGUAUGUACUGGUCUCACUGAUUCCUCCUUCCUGAUGAACCUUAAUGCCAUUAAUUUGGUGUUUUGGGGAAUUUGGACUUUUACUGUGAAAAAAUUAGAGUGUUUAAAGCAGGCUCACGCUUGAAUACAUUAGCAUGGAAUAAUGAAAUUGGACGUUUGAUCCUAUUUUGUUGGUUUCUAGGAUUGACGUA